CCGGUGGAGUUUUUGUUUUCUGCUAUAUUUGAACAUAAAGAGUAAAACUAAAGUCAGGUCUGUUCUGGAGUAUGUUACACUUGUGCAAAGCUCCUUCCCUCUGUUUAUUUUCUGUUCUGCAAAGCACAGUGUUAAGGUUUGAGAUA
Molecule: long non-coding RNA, 146 nt
Organism: Chiroxiphia lanceolata (lance-tailed manakin)
Lineage: Eukaryota; Metazoa; Chordata; Aves; Passeriformes; Pipridae
Exons: 3
Source: RefSeq, a predicted model, not a curated record